Molecule: ribosomal RNA, 253 nt
Filed under: uncultured bacterium
Lineage: Bacteria
Description: partial 16S ribosomal RNA
Rfam family: Bacterial small subunit ribosomal RNA
Source: RNAcentral
UACAGAGGGUGCGAGCGUUAAUCGGAAUUACUGGGCGUAAAGCGUGCGUAGACGGUAGCGUAAGUCAGAUGUGAAAUCCCCGGGCUCAACCUGGGAACUGCGUUUGUGACUGUAUGACUAGAGUACGGUAGAGAGGGGUGGAAUUCCUGGUGUAGCAGUGAAAUGCGUAGAUAUCAGGAGGAACAUCGAUGGCGAAGGCAGCCCCUUGGACCUGUACUGACGCUCAUGCACGAAAGCGUGGGGAGCAAACAGG